CCUACGGGAGGCAGCAGUGAGGAAUAUUGGUCAAUGGACGAGAGUCUGAACCAGCCAAGUAGCGUGAAGGAUGACUGCCCUAUGGGUUGUAAACUUCUUUUAUAUGGGAAUAAAAUGUUCCACGUGUGGGAUUUUGUAUGUACCAUAUGAAUAAGGAUCGGCUAACUCCGUGCCAGCAGCCGCGGUAAUACGGAGGAUACGAGCGUUAUCCGGAUUUAUUGGGUUUAAAGGGAGCGUAGGUGGAGUGUUAAGUCAGUUGUGAAAGUUUGCGGCUCAACCGUAAAAUUGCAGUUGAAACUGGCAGUCUUGAGUACAGUAGAGGUGGGCGGAAUUCGUGGUGUAGCGGUGAAAUGCUUAGAUAUCACGAAGAACUCCGAUUGCGAAGGCAGUUCACUGGACUGCAACUGACACUGAGGCUCGAAAGUGUGGGUAUCAAACAGGAUUAGAUACCCCGGUAGUC
RNAcentral lists this ribosomal RNA (460 nucleotides) under uncultured bacterium. RNAcentral's name for it is "partial 16S ribosomal RNA". It matches the Rfam family "Bacterial small subunit ribosomal RNA", at positions 338 to 795 of the family's 1533-position model. The record is from RNAcentral.